This 497-nucleotide ribosomal RNA is filed under the name uncultured bacterium. RNAcentral's name for it is "partial 16S ribosomal RNA". It matches the Rfam family "Bacterial small subunit ribosomal RNA", at positions 28 to 507 of the family's 1533-position model. The record is from RNAcentral.
GAUGAACGCUGGCGGCGUGCCUAAUACAUGCAAGUCGAGCGAACAGAUGAGGAGCUUGCUCCUCUGACGUUAGCGGCGGACGGGUGAGUAACACGUGGAUAACCUACCUAUAAGACUGGGAUCACUUCGAGAAACCGGAGCUAAUACCGGAUAAUAUAUUGAACCGCAUGGUUCAAUAGUGAAAGACGGUUUUGCUGUCACUUAUAGAUGGAUCCGCGCCGCAUUAGAUAGUUGGUAAGGUAACGGCUUACCAAGGCAACGAUGCGUAGCCGACCGGAGAGGGUGAUAGGCCACACUGGAGCUGAGACAGGGUCCAGACUACUACGGGAGGGAGCAGUAGGGAAUCUUCCGCAAUGGGCGAAAGCCUGACGGAGCAACGCCGCGUGAGUGAUGAAGGUCUUCGGAGCGUAAAACUCUGUUAUUAGGGAAGAACAAAUGUGUAAGUAACUAUGCACGUCUUGACGGUACCUAAUCAGAAAGCAACGGCUAACUACGUG